This 445-nucleotide ribosomal RNA is filed under the name uncultured Leptolinea sp. RNAcentral describes it as "bacterial SSU rRNA". It matches the Rfam family "Bacterial small subunit ribosomal RNA", at positions 923 to 1382 of the family's 1533-position model. The record is from RNAcentral. Lineage: Bacteria; Bacillati; Chloroflexota; Anaerolineae; Anaerolineales; Anaerolineaceae.
GCACAAGCAGCGGAGCGUGUGGUUUAAUUCGAUGUUACACGAAGAACCUUACCAGGGUUUGACAUGCAAGUGGUAGGAAUCCGAAAGGUGACCGACCCUCGGGGAGCUUGCACAGGUGCUACAUUGGCUGUCGUCAGCUCGUGUCGUGAGAUGUUCGGUUAAGUCCGCUAACGAGCGCAACCCUCGCUGUGUGUUAUAAGUGUCACACGGUACUGCCGGUCUUAAGCCGGAGGAAGGUGGGAUGACGUCAAGUCCUCAUGGCCUUUAUGUCUAGGGCUACACACGUACUACAAUGGCCGGUACAAAGGGCAGCCACUCAGCGAUGAGGCGCUAAUCCCAUAAAGCCGGUCUCAGUCCGGAUCGCAGUCUGCAACUCGACUGCGUGAAGUUGGAAUCGCUAGUAAUCGUAGAUCAGCAUGCUACGGUGAAUACGUUCCCGGGCCUU